UUUUUUUUUUUUUCUUGUGACGUUGGCUGCCUAACUGAAGUGGUCACCUGUUGAAUGUUCACUGGGAAUCUUUUCUUUGAAACGAAGAAUGCAGGGCAUCCAAGAUCUAUUGACCAUCCCUAAAUCCCGUCAAGACGCCGGAGAGCAAAAGUUCAAGGGAUGAAAGGCUUCCGGAUGAAACAGUCAGCUAGCUAUAAAAGGACCAAGCCUUCAUAUCUUGGCAGUAGACUCAAGCCAUAUGUUUUCUUCCAUGGACAGACACAGCAGCUGUGUGGUAGGCCUGCAAGCUCAUCAUCCAUCAAAUCUAGAGAUGGUUUGAGUCUUCUCUUGUGUUUUGCCAAUUUAUUGUGACAAGAACCUGAUUUCAGUGCAGUCUCUAUAGACUCUACACAA
Molecule: long non-coding RNA, 393 nt
Organism: Labeo rohita (rohu)
Lineage: Eukaryota; Metazoa; Chordata; Actinopteri; Cypriniformes; Cyprinidae
Exons: 3
Source: RefSeq, a predicted model, not a curated record